GCCUUCGUGGUGUAAUGGUAGCAUACUCGGCGCAUAUUCGAAAGGUCCAGGUUCGAGUCCUUGCGAGAGCA
Molecule: transfer RNA, 71 nt
Filed under: Stegodyphus mimosarum
Lineage: Eukaryota; Metazoa; Arthropoda; Arachnida; Araneae; Eresidae
Rfam family: tRNA
About the family: Transfer RNA (tRNA) molecules are approximately 80 nucleotides in length.
Source: Rfam by way of RNAcentral